Non-coding RNA from Verticillium dahliae VdLs.17, 113 nucleotides. The record is from the annotation of a RefSeq genome assembly. Lineage: Eukaryota; Fungi; Ascomycota; Sordariomycetes; Glomerellales; Plectosphaerellaceae.
GGGCGAUUGGUUUAGUGGUAUAACGUCUGCUUAGCAUCUGAAGAAAAAAGUACAUCGUCACGACGAUCUACGAUGCCUGCUGAAGGUCGCGCGUUCGAUUCGCGCAUUGUCCA